This 1376-nucleotide long non-coding RNA is filed under the name Gallus gallus (chicken). RNAcentral describes it as "lncRNA (ENSGALG00010014006.1)". Lineage: Eukaryota; Metazoa; Chordata; Aves; Galliformes; Phasianidae. The record is from RNAcentral.
CUCCUGUCCCCGCCCUGCCCUGCCCUGCCCUGCCCUGCCCUGCCCGCGGUGGGGGCGUUGCGGGGCGGCGGGCGAUCUCGACGUGGCAGCCGGAGGGAGGGAGCCGUGACCUUCCUGCCCAGCGAGCGGCGGGGCUGCUUCCCCCCGUCGUGAGCCGCCUUUAAUUCGCUUCGUCUGCGCCACCUCUCGGGUGUCGCGGAUAACCUUCCUGGGCCUGUCAGGCCAGAGAAGGCCCCAGGGGCCUACAGCUCCCGAGGUUGAGUCACCAGCCCCGGGGGAGCACCCCUGGCUCAGAGCUCAGCAUAUCCCAUGUGCUGUGUGCACAUCAGCACGUAAGGACAGGUCCCAGUGGCGAAUGGAGAGCGCCAAAGCAGCCACGGCGCAACCUCAGCGCCAUGGAGAUCGGCUGCCCAGAGAGGUUGUGGAGUCUCCUUCUCUGGAGACACUCAAGACCCACCUGGGCACCUACCUGUGCAACGUGGUCUAGGGAGCCUGCUUUGCAGGAGGGUUGGACUAGAUGAUCUCUACAGGUCCCGUCCAGCCCUUCAGUUGUGUGUUUCUGUGAUUCUAUGGGACGGGCAGGUGGAUGCUGCUUCAUAUCAGGCUUGCACUGCAGCCUUCCAAUAGGCCUUCUCUAGUGCAGAAAACGUUUUCAAAGAUGUCACCAAAAAAUUGAUGUUGUUUUGAAAAAUUCCAGCAAGGUAAUAUGACAACACAGAAGAUUUCAAAGAGCCAUAUUUCCUAAGAGCUCAACGCCCAUAACUGGCUUAAUAGAUGGAAUUAAAUGUUGAGCUUUAUGAUUUGUCUGAAGGUGAAAGAGACCUGUAAGAAGCAUUGACUCCAGCUUCUGGCUCCACACAGGACCACCAAAAAUCAGACCGUCAUUCAGAGAUCUCAUAUCUGUCUUGGCUGCUAAGAAGCACUUGGCACAUUUCCAGCCUGGUUGGGUUGUCUGUGUGAGCCUGAAAAAAAAAAUACUGCAGAAAUCAAAUGAGCUCUUGGAACUGUCUUCUUCUGAAGAAAUGGUCACCAUGCCCUUGUGCCUUUUAAAUUCCUCUCUCAACUUCAGCACCUCAGCAGCUUUGGAAAUUUGGUCUUAUGAUAGCAAGUGGAAGGAAUUAAAGACAAAUUACUCAGAUAACACGGAAUUUAAACAGUCCUUAAUGGAGAGCUUGCCAAAACCAUGAAAUCAUGUCAUGAUGAGAAGUGUCACAAAUGAUCCCAUUGAGCUCAACAUGGUGCUUUGUGUUGGCAUGUGCCUGUGAAUUGAUGCUCAAACAUCAAGAAACUGGGCUACGGAGAGGCAGGAGCAAGUUCCAAGCCAAAGAGACUGAAGAUCAGUUGUGGAAGCUUCAGGAAGGCUCUAUAAAAAUUAU